This 163-nucleotide unclassified non-coding RNA is filed under the name uncultured Periconia. RNAcentral describes it as "sequence contains ITS1". The record is from RNAcentral. Lineage: Eukaryota; Fungi; Ascomycota; Sordariomycetes; Microascales; Halosphaeriaceae.
AUCCAGGCGCAAGCCCCCUCUCGGGGAGGUGAGCGCCGCCUUCUUAUCAACCCUUUGCCUAUGUGUACCCCUAUCGCUUCCUCGGCAGGCUCGCCUGCCGCUAGGAACCAACCAAACCCCUUGCAUUAUACAUGAAAACUUCCGAUACAAACCUAAAUUAUUA